This is a long non-coding RNA of Sinocyclocheilus grahami, 1575 nucleotides long. RefSeq lists it as uncharacterized. The record is from RefSeq and is a predicted model, not a curated record. NCBI's taxonomy places the organism in Eukaryota, Metazoa, Chordata, Actinopteri, Cypriniformes, Cyprinidae. The transcript is spliced from 2 exons.
AAUCUUGUGCUCUUUCCUCCAGCGGCUGUUUGUUCUCCAUUCUCUUCCCGCUCUUCAUCAUCAGCGCUAAUGAAGCAAAGACCCCAGUCAAACUCUACCACUUCCAGCUCCGCCUCUUUUCCCUGGUCGUCCUCAUCAGUAACAAACUGUUCCACAAGACGGUGCACCUGCAGAGCUCCAUCACGACCUCCACGUCCACAGAGAAGCUGCCCUCGCCUCACAUGUCCCCGACGCGCCAGCGACCUAUGCCCCCCCAGUGACUUCUUUCAGGAUUCCCAAUUCGGUUCGGUAUGAAAGAGUCAGGUGGAUGGAAAAAAUUAGCGUGGUCUGUCGAUGUUCUUCUGAGGGAUGAAUGGGACGGGUUAGUAAUGUGUUUGGGACUGGAUCGCCCUGUGCUGAUACACAAGGUCGUGAUUCUCUGUGUGAUUGUUUUUUUUUGGGGGGACUAUUUUUGUACCCAUUAUGUGCCAUUUGGGUCAUUUGUAGAGACGGCACAAAGACCUCAGCGUGCACAUUUUCUGUGAAUUGGCUUCCCUCUUCUUUUAGGCCCUGUAGUCGUUUUAUCUAUUUAUGGCCUUCUUUUAAAUUUUUUGUAAUGGCUUUUUCUGCCUUGUGAGGGCCGGACACAUGACAGUUUAUCUCUCCGUUAACACUAAGCUUAAUGACUUACGGAAUGGAUGAGUAGAAAAAGGCCCUAGCGUCCCCCAGUGGUUUGUUUUUCUGCACUGGAAUCUGGACUAGACUGAAAAACAAUCAAAUUGAAAGGCCUCUUUAUGCAAGGGAUGUUUCUUGACCUAAAAUGUUGUGAGUUGUCUGCUAGACAUUUUAAAAUCAUUACUUUAUUGACUACACAUUUUCUUAAUGGAAUUGUUUGGCUGAAAAUCAUUUAUUCACCCUCAUGGUUUCCUUCAUAUGUGGAACACAAAAGUAGGUAUUUUGCAGAAUGUUAAUGCUGCUCAAGUCCCUAUAUCCUUAUAUUUGAUGAAAAACAGCAGUGUGGACAUUCUUUGAAAUUUCUCCUUUUGUGUUCCAUCGAAGAAAAUCAUGUUAGGAACCACAUGAUGACAGGAUGUUUUUCCCUGAGCUGUAAGUAACAAUGUGAAACUCAAAAGGGAGCUGCUUUUAUUUGGUUUCUUUUAUAAUGCGUUUUUAUUUUGGGAAUACCGUGUCAACAUGAUCCGGUGUCAUCUGUAAAGGUUUGGGGAUGAUUUCCAACAGUAUGCACAAGCUUUAUUAAUCAGCUGCUGUCAGGUGACACUGCCAAACUGUGUGACACUUGUGAAACUGUUCUUUAAGUGAUCACGGAUCCAGUUUCCAAUGAAUGCUGGCAUGUCAAGUGGAUGUCCACUGUGGUGUAUGUUCCUGGAGUUUAGUACCUGGAACCUGUUUAGAAACAUUUGAAACUGAAGCACAUAUUAUGUCAUUGUAUCCGCGGGGGGUGGGGGGGGGUUGUAUUUUAAAAAGGGUUGUAAUUAUCGCCAGGAGUCAAUAGUGUUACACCUACAGAUGGAAAUUUGUGAGUGACAUUUUGUAAAAGUAUUACAUUAUUUCAAUAAAUUUGGUCUGUGUACAGUA